CCUACGGGAGGCAGCAGUGGGGAAUAUUGCACAAUGGGGGAAACCCUGAUGCAGCGACGCCGCGUGAAGGAUGAAGUAUUUCGGUAUGUAAACUUCUAUCAGCCGGGAAGAAAAUUACGGUACCUGAGUAAGAAGCCCCGGCGAACUACGGGCAAGAAGCCGCAGUAAUACGUGGGGGGCAAGCGUUAUACGGAUUUACUGGGUGUAAAGGGAGCGUAGACGGCAUGGCAAGUCUGAUGUGAAAACCCGGGGCUCAACCCCGGGACUGCAGUGGAAACUGGCAGGCUAGAGUGUCGGAGAGGCAAGUGGAAUGCGUAGUGUAGCGGUGAAAUGCGUAGAUAUUAGGAGGAACACCAGUGGCGAAGGCGGCUUGCUGGACGAUGACUGACGUUGAGGCUCGAAAGCGUGGGGAGCAAACAGGAUUAGAUACCCGAGUAGUC
Molecule: ribosomal RNA, 440 nt
Filed under: uncultured bacterium
Lineage: Bacteria
Description: partial 16S ribosomal RNA
Rfam family: Bacterial small subunit ribosomal RNA
Source: RNAcentral